RNAcentral lists this small nuclear RNA (23 nucleotides) under Arabidopsis thaliana (thale cress). Its description in RNAcentral is "snRNA_14560". The record is from RNAcentral. Lineage: Eukaryota; Viridiplantae; Streptophyta; Magnoliopsida; Brassicales; Brassicaceae.
UAUUUGUCUUUCUUUGGUGUUGA